This 919-nucleotide ribosomal RNA is filed under the name uncultured Pseudomonadota bacterium. RNAcentral describes it as "bacterial SSU rRNA". It matches the Rfam family "Bacterial small subunit ribosomal RNA", at positions 46 to 1014 of the family's 1533-position model. Lineage: Bacteria; Pseudomonadati; Pseudomonadota. The record is from RNAcentral.
GCCUAACCAUGCAAGUCGAACGCAGUAGCAAUACUGAGUGGCAGACGGGUGAGUAACAUGUGGGAAUCUGCCUUGUGGUUCAGGACAACAUUGGGAAACCGAUGCUAAUACUGGAUAAGCCCUUACGGGGAAAGUUUUAAUGCCAUAAGAUGAGCCCGCAUUUGAUUAGUUAGUUGGUGAGGUAAUGGCUCACCAAGACAAUGAUCAAUAGCUGAUCUGAGAGGAUGAUCAGCCACACUGGGACUGAGACACGGCCCAGACUCCUACGGGAGGCAGCAGUGGGGAAUCUUGCACAAUGGAGGAAACUCUGAUGCAGCGAUGCCGCGUGAGUGAAGAAGGCCUUUGGGUUGUAAAGCUCUUUUGUAGGGGAAGAUAAUGACUGUACCCUAAGAAUAAGGUCCGGCUAACUUCGUGCCAGCAGCCGCGGUAAUACGAAGGGACCUAGCGUAGUUCGGAAUUACUGGGCGUAAAGCGCGCGUAGGCCGUUGAGUUAGUUAAUUGUGAAAUCCCAAAGCUUAACUUUGGAACUGCAAUUAAAACUGCUCGACUAGAGUUUGAUAGAGGAAAGCGGAAUACAUAGUGUAGAGGUGAAAUUCGUAGAUAUUAUGUAGAACACCAGUUGCGAAGGCGGCUUUCUGGAUCAACACUGACGCUGAGGCGCGAAAGUAUGGGUAGCAAAGAGGAUUAGAUACCCUCGUAGUCCAUACCAUAAACGAUGAUUGCUAGAUGUUGGAAAUUUAUUUUCAGUAUCGCAGCUAACGCAUUAAGCAAUCCGCCUGGGGAGUACGACCGCAAGGUUAAAACUCAAAUGAAUUGACGGGGACCCGCACAAGCGGUGGAGCAUGUGGUUUAAUUCGAAGAUACGCGCAGAACCUUACCAACCCUUGACAUGUCUGUCGCGAGUUAGGAACUAGACUUU